GACGAACGCUGGCGGCGUGCUUAACACAUGCAAGUCGAACGGAAAGGCCCUGCUUUUGUGGGGUGCUCGAGUGGCGAACGGGUGAGUAACACGUGAGUAACCUGCCCUUGACUUUGGGAUAACUUCAGGAAACUGGGGCUAAUACCGGAUAGGAGCUCCUGCUGCAUGGUGGGGGUUGGAAAGUUUCGGCGGUUGGGGAUGGACUCGCGGCUUAUCAGCUUGUUGGUGGGGUAGUGGCUUACCAAGGCUUUGACGGGUAGCCGGCCUGAGAGGGUGACCGGCCACAUUGGGACUGAGAUACGGCCCAGACUCCUACGGGAGGCAGCAGUGGGGAAUAUUGCACAAUGGGCGGAAGCCUGAUGCAGCAACGCCGCGUGCGGGAUGACGGCCUUCGGGUUGUAAACCGCUUUCGCCUGUGACGAAGCGUGAGUGACGGUAAUGGGUAAAGAAGCACCGGCUAACUACGUGCCAGCAGCCGCGGUGAUACGUAGGGUGCGAGCGUUGUCCGGAUUUAUUGGGCGUAAAGGGCUCGUAGGUGGUUGAUCGCGUCGGAAGUGUAAUCUUGGGGCUUAACCCUGAGCGUGCUUUCGAUACGGGUUGACUUGAGGAAGGUAGGGGAGAAUGGAAUUCCUGGUGGAGCGGUGGAAUGCGCAGAUAUCAGGAGGAACACCAGUGGCGAAGGCGGUUCUCUGGGCCUUUCCUGACGCUGAGGAGCGAAAGCGUGGGGAGCGAACAGGCUUAGAUACCCUGGUAGUCCACGCUGUAAACGGUGGGUACUAGGUGUGGGGUCCAUUCCACGGGUUCCGUGCCGUAGCUAACGCUUUAAGUACCCCGCCUGGGGAGUACGGCCGCAAGGCUAAAACUCAAAGGAAUUGACGGGGCCCCGCACAAGCGGCGGAGCAUGCGGAUUAAUUCGAUGCAACGCGUAGAACCUUACCUGGGUUUGACAUGGAUCGGGAGUGCUCAGAGAUGGGUGUGCCUCUUUUGGGGUCGGUUCACAGGUGGUGCAUGGCUGUCGUCAGCUCGUGUCGUGAGAUGUUGGGUUAAGUCCCGCAACGAGCGCAACCCUUGUUCACUGUUGCCAGCACGUUAUGGUGGGGACUCAGUGGAGACCGCCGGGGUCAACUCGGAGGAAGGUGGGGAUGACGUCAAGUCAUCAUGCCCCUUAUGUCCAGGGCUUCACGCAUGCUACAAUGGCUGGUACAGAGAGUGGCGAGCCUGUGAGGGUGAGCGAAUCUCGGAAAGCCGGUCUCAGUUCGGAUUGGGGUCUGCAACACGACCUCAUGAAGUCGGAGUCGCUAGUAAUCGCAGAUCAGCAACGCUGCGGUGAAUACGUUCCCGGGGCU
This 1346-nucleotide ribosomal RNA is filed under the name uncultured bacterium. Its description in RNAcentral is "partial 16S ribosomal RNA". It matches the Rfam family "Bacterial small subunit ribosomal RNA", at positions 28 to 1381 of the family's 1533-position model. The record is from RNAcentral.